Arachis stenosperma is the source of this 2545-nucleotide RNA transcript. RefSeq lists it as uncharacterized. The transcript has 12 exons. NCBI's taxonomy places the organism in Eukaryota, Viridiplantae, Streptophyta, Magnoliopsida, Fabales, Fabaceae. The record is from RefSeq and is a predicted model, not a curated record.
AUUCAUUUGCCACCUGUUGAAUGAAGUAACAUUUUUUUACUGAGCUCACUGUGCAUUGAACCUUCGCGGUUGCUUCUUCUUCUUAUAUAAUUUGAAGUAGUCGCACAUGCUCGCCAAGCAAAAGUAAGAAAUACUCACCAAGUCACUAUAAACUCAAAACCAAUGGAUAAUACGCCGGCGAGGUUUAAGUGCAGCUACGGCGGCGAGAUCAGGCACCACGACGACGAACACCACCGCUACCCCUACUAUGCUGGCGGCAUCCACAGGAUGCUCCAAGUUCAAGGCGACAUAAAUUUUGCUGUUAUGACCGCCGAGCUCUCCUUACUCUGCGGCGGCGCUGCCGUAACCUCCUUUAAGUACCUUAUCCCCGGCGACGACCUCGACACCCUGGUCACCGUCUCGGAUGACAGGGACUUCUGUUACCUUAUGCGCGAAUACGAUCUGCACUACCGCGGUUCCGGUUCGCUCGACCCGAUGAGGAUCUUCCUCGACAUCGUCGAACAAGGCGGCGGCGCUGUUGCUCCUCAGGCACCUGCCCCGCUGAGUGCCUCCGACGAGGAUCGACGCGUGAACAUGGAGCUGGAGGGUCAAUUGGAGACGCAGUGGGGGCGCGUGGGAGGUCACGUUUCGUUUUCUUUUCCCGGGCCGUUGACUCCUGCAUCAGCCCUCAUACUCUUCGCUCUGAUUCUUCUUCUUUCGCUACCAAUCGCAUUCGUACUUCAAAAUUAUUUAGUUACGAAUGCUGAUGCAGAGUUCAGGGACUUUGAACAUCAUCGUGACGGGAUUAUUCACUUUGAGAAGCACAUGAAUCAAUUACCUGGAGCAUUGGAGGUUCCCGCUAAGGAUACCAUUGAAAUGGUGUUGCAUGAUAAAAAGGGUAGCAGAAUACAUGCUUCUCUCCCAAAGGCAUUGGUCAAGAAGUUUUGUCCUGUUGCUAACAUCAUACAAAACGGCAAUAUAGAUGACAAGGAACUCAUUGAUAUAUUUGUUGAGGUGGUUGGUAACAAGGGAAGACAAAUUGUCUUUACUUUUGAGGAUUUGGACAAAAAUAGGGUGACCUGUAUUUUGUUUGGAACACUAGUGGAUCAUAUUCUUCCCCACCUUGAUUCAAUUGGUCCUGGACCACUCAUUGUUGCUAAAAGUUUCUUAGACAAGGUGCAUGUUCAGAGCAGUUACUAUGCAUCAAAGCUCCAUGUGAACGUCUACAUAAAAGAAGUUGUGGAUUCCAAAAAUAGGUUGGGGAGUACUUGCCAGGUUACUUCGCAGUAUAUAAGUCAUCUCUCAUCUCAACCUAGCUAUUCUGUGAGUGAUGAGAUUAAUGGUGGAUUAGUAAGAUUGAAGUCAAUAGAGGAGCUUCUGAAUUGUCCAAAUGAGGGUUCUUAUUGGAUUCUGGCUAGUAUAGUGCGUUUGGAUGUUGGAAAAGAUGAUUGGUUUUACAAGGGAUGUACCCAAUACCCCCAUAAACUAGGAGGUGCUGAACCAUUUUAUUGCAAGAGAUGUGAUCAAGCGGAUUCCAAUCUUCUACGGUUUAGGCUUCAAGUUAUAGUGUCUGAUGGCACUGGAAGUAUAACAUUGGUUCUGUGGGAUAGGGAAGCCAUGCAAGUUGUUGGGAAGACAGCAACAGAGAUAAAAGAAAACUCAUUUGAUGAUGGUGAUGCAGACACUUAUCCUAAAGCUCUUGAUUCAGUGAUAGAUACAAAGCUUCUGAUUAAGGUUGCUGUGUCAUCAAGGAACAUUAACGGUUAUGAUGAUGUCUAUAAUGUUAUGAGGAUAUCCGAUGAUGAAGAAUUGAUUACAAAAUUGGGCCAUGAUGCUGCUGUAGCAUCACAAGAAUUGGAAAUGCAGGGUGUUGAUAAUAAUGUUAAGUUGUCAAUAAUUUAUCCACAAAGUGACUGGUAGCAAGAAAGGAUAGAGAAUAGAAGACACUAAUAUUAUUUCCAACUUCGGUAACAGACUAACAGUAUACAAGUUAAACCAAGUAGGUCUCAACAAAUGAUCAAAGACACUCUUUGCUACUAAUUAAUCCUAACUAACUCAUAUAUUCUUAAUCUUAACUACUAACCUUACUCUCACUAAUGGUAACUAAUUCAUAUAUACUAACGUGGUCCUAACAUACUGUUGGCAAUAAUGACACAAGUUGGAUCAAGGAUUCAGUUGAUGAUGAGUUUCAUACAACUUCUAGUUAGAAGACUCCAGCAAAGUGUGCAUCUUGAAUUGGGCCCUAAUAGUUAGCUGUCAAGAAACAAGGUGAAGAGACUGAAACUAAAUAAAGACAAGUAAUUCUAUGUUAUGAGUGAUUAGUGUUGUUAGUAUUACUCUUUGUUGUAGAAUAUUGGAGAUAUUAUUCGUAAUCUAGUUAUUUCACUCAUCAGUCGUACUGUGGUUAACUUCGCCUUUUGUUGUUGUAUGUGUCUUUUAAUUUGGUGAUUUGGUCCAAGCUAUCUUGGAAGACCAAUAUUGUAAUAAUGUCUAUUCAGGUUGUGUUAACUUUUGUAGUAUCUAUCGGUGUGAACGCUUUUAAUAAUCCUAUUGUUGAAGUUUAGAA